RNAcentral lists this ribosomal RNA (254 nucleotides) under uncultured bacterium. Its description in RNAcentral is "partial 16S ribosomal RNA". It matches the Rfam family "Bacterial small subunit ribosomal RNA", at positions 524 to 776 of the family's 1533-position model. The record is from RNAcentral.
UACGUAGGGUGCAAGCGUUGUCCGGAAUUAUUGGGCGUAAAGAGCUCGUAGGCGGUCUGUCGCGUCGGACGUGAAAACCCAGGGCUCAACCCUGGGCCUGCGUUCGAUACGGGCAGACUAGAGUUCGGUAGGGGAGGACUGGAAUUCCUGGUGUAGCGGUGAAAUGCGCAGAUAUCAGGAGGAACACCGGUGGCGAAGGCGGGUCUCUGGGCCGAAACUGACGCUGAGGAGCGAAAGCGUGGGGAGCGAACAGG